ACAUGCAAGUCGAACGAAGCGCCUUUUAAGAUUCUUCGGAUGAUUGAUUGGUGACUGAGUGGCGGACGGGUGAGUAACGCGUGGGUAACCUGCCCUGUACAGGGGGAUAACAGUUGGAAACGGCUGCUAAUACCGCAUAAGCGCACGAGAGGACAUCCUCUUGUGUGAAAAACUCCGGUGGUACAGGAUGGGCCCGCGUCUGAUUAGCUGGUUGGCAGGGUAACGGCCUACCAAGGCGACGAUCAGUAGCCGGUCUGAGAGGAUGAACGGCCACAUUGGAACUGAGACACGGUCCAAACUCCUACGGGAGGCAGCAGUGGGGAAUAUUGCACAAUGGGGGAAACCCUGAUGCAGCAACGCCGCGUGAGUGAAGAAGUAUUUCGGUAUGUAAAGCUCUAUCAGCAGGGAAGAUAAUGACGGUACCUGACUAAGAAGCUCCGGCUAAAUACGUGCCAGCAGCCGCGGUAAUACGUAUGGAGCAAGCGUUAUCCGGAUUUACUGGGUGUAAAGGGUGCGUAGGUGGCAGUGCAAGUCAGAUGUGAAAGGCCGGGGCUCAACCCCGGAGCUGCAUUUGAAACUGCAUAGCUAGAGUACAGGAGAGGCAGGCGGAAUUCCUAGUGUAGCGGUGAAAUGCGUAGAUAUUAGGAGGAACACCAGUGGCGAAGGCGGCCUGCUGGACUGUUACUGACACUGAGGCACGAAAGCGUGGGGAGCAAACAGGAUUAGAUA
Molecule: ribosomal RNA, 729 nt
Filed under: uncultured Lachnospiraceae bacterium
Lineage: Bacteria; Bacillati; Bacillota; Clostridia; Lachnospirales; Lachnospiraceae
Description: bacterial SSU rRNA
Rfam family: Bacterial small subunit ribosomal RNA
Source: RNAcentral